This 301-nucleotide ribosomal RNA is filed under the name uncultured bacterium. Its description in RNAcentral is "partial 16S ribosomal RNA". It matches the Rfam family "Bacterial small subunit ribosomal RNA", at positions 509 to 809 of the family's 1533-position model. The record is from RNAcentral.
CAGCAGCCGCGGUAAUACGUAGGUGGCAAGCGUCGUCCGGAAUUAUUGGGCGUAAAGGGCUCGCAGGCGGUUUCUUAAGUCUGAUGUGAAAGCCCCCGGCUCAACCGGGGAGGGUCAUUGGAAACUGGGAAACUUGAGUGCAGAAGAGGAGAGUGGAAUUCCACGUGUAGCGGUGAAAUGCGUAGAGAUGUGGAGGAACACCAGUGGCGAAGGCGACUCUCUGGUCUGUAACUGACGCUGAGGAGCGAAAGCGUGGGGAGCGAACAGGAUUAGAUACCCCAGUAGUCCCUGUCUCUUAUAA